AUUGAACGCUGGCGGCAUGCCUAACACAUGCAAGUCGAACGGAGGUAGGGGCAACUCUACUUCAGUGGCGGACGGGUGAGGAAUGCGUCGGAAUCUACCCUAUGGUGGGGGAUAACACAGGGAAACUUGUGCUAAUACCGCAUAAUGUCGAGAGACCAAAGCAGGGGACCGCAAGGCCUUGCGCGAUAGGAUGAGCCGAGCCCGAUUAGCUAGUUGGUAGGGUAAAGGCCUACCAAGGCGACGAUCGGUAGCUGGUCUGAGAGGAUGAUCAGCCACACUGGGACUGAGACACGGCCCAGACUCCUACGGGAGGCAGCAGUGGGGAAUAUUGGACAAUGGGCGCAAGCCUGAUCCAGCAAUGCCGCGUGAGGG
RNAcentral lists this ribosomal RNA (372 nucleotides) under uncultured bacterium. RNAcentral describes it as "bacterial SSU rRNA". It matches the Rfam family "Bacterial small subunit ribosomal RNA", at positions 29 to 407 of the family's 1533-position model. The record is from RNAcentral.